Molecule: ribosomal RNA, 482 nt
Filed under: uncultured bacterium
Lineage: Bacteria
Description: partial 16S ribosomal RNA
Rfam family: Bacterial small subunit ribosomal RNA
Source: RNAcentral
AUUGAACGCUGGCGGCAUGCCUUACACAUGCAAGUCGAACGGUAACAGGUCUUCGGCUGCUGCCGAGUGGCGAACGGGUGUGUAAUACAUCGGAACGUGCCCAGACGUGGGGGAUAACGCGGCGAAAGCUUUGCUAAUACCGCAUACGAUCUAAGGUUGAAAGCAGGGGACCGCAAGGCCUUGCGCGUUUGGAGCGGCCGAUGGCAGAUUAGGUAGUUGGUGGGAUAAAAGCUUACCAAGCCGACGAUCUGUAGCUGGUCUGAGAGGACGACCAGCCACACUGGGACUGAGACACGGCCCAGACUCCUACGGGAGGCAGCAGUGGGGAAUUUUGGACAAUGGGCGAAAGCCUGAUCCAGCAAUGCCGCGUGCAGGAUGAAGGCCUUCGGGUUGUAAACUGCUUUUGUACGGAACGAAAAGGCUCUGGCUAAUACCUGGGGCACAUGACGGUACCGGAAGAAUAAGCACCGGCUAACUACGUG